This 1152-nucleotide small RNA is filed under the name Pan troglodytes (chimpanzee). RNAcentral describes it as "retained intron". Lineage: Eukaryota; Metazoa; Chordata; Mammalia; Primates; Hominidae. The record is from RNAcentral.
CUGGAGUACCGGUUCUACAAGCAGCUCAGCGCCACAGAGGGCGUCCCUCAGGUCUACUACUUCGGUCCGUGCGGGAAGUACAACGCCAUGGUGCUGGAGCUGCUGGGGCCCAGCCUGGAGGACCUGUUCGACCUGUGCGACCGGACCUUCACGCUCAAGACGGUGCUGAUGAUCGCCAUCCAGCUGAUCACGCGCAUGGAGUAUGUGCACACCAAGAGCCUAAUCUACCGGGACGUGAAGCCCGAGAACUUCCUGGUGGGCCGCCCGGGGACCAAGCGGCAGCACGCCAUCCACAUCAUCGACUUCGGGCUGGCCAAGGAGUACAUCGACCCCGAGACCAAGAAGCACAUCCCGUACCGCGAGCACAAGAGCCUGACGGGCACGGCGCGCUACAUGAGCAUCAACACGCACCUGGGCAAGGGUGAGCUGCGCGCGCGCGGCGGGGGGCGGGCGCCCGGACCCCGCUGAGGCUGCGCCCCUGUCCCCGCAGAGCAGAGCCGCCGCGACGACCUGGAGGCGCUGGGCCACAUGUUCAUGUACUUCCUGCGCGGCAGCCUCCCCUGGCAGGGGCUCAAGGUGGGCGAGGAGACCGGGCAGGCGGGCGGGGACGCAGGGCGGGAGCAAGGCUGACCACAGACCCCCGCAGGCCGACACGCUCAAGGAGCGGUACCAGAAGAUCGGGGACACCAAACGCGCCACGCCCAUCGAGGUGCUCUGCGAGAACUUCCCAGGUAAGGGGUCCCUGCGUCCCCGCCCCCGCCCCGUGCCCCCCACCCCCGCCGAGGCCCCGCUGGCGCUCUCUCUGCAGAGGAGAUGGCCACGUACCUGCGCUAUGUGCGGCGCCUGGACUUCUUCGAGAAGCCCGACUAUGACUACCUGCGGAAGCUCUUCACCGACCUCUUCGACCGCAGUGGCUUCGUGUUCGACUAUGAGUACGACUGGGCCGGGAAGCCCCUGCCGACCCCCAUCGGCACCGUCCACACCGACCUGCCCUCCCAGCCUCAGCUCCGGGACAAAGCCCAGCCGCACAGCAAAAACCAGGUGAAGCCCGGGCGGGACCGACGCCCCAGGGAGGGGCACGGGCGGCCAGCGUGACCCCCUACUGUCCCCACCAGGCGCUGAACUCCACCAACGGGGAGCUGAACGCGGAUG